This 439-nucleotide ribosomal RNA is filed under the name uncultured bacterium. Its description in RNAcentral is "bacterial SSU rRNA". It matches the Rfam family "Bacterial small subunit ribosomal RNA", at positions 29 to 507 of the family's 1533-position model. The record is from RNAcentral.
AACGAACGCUGGCGGCAGGCCUAACACAUGCAAGUCGAACGGACCCUUCGGGGUUAGUGGCGCACGGGUGCGGAACACGUGGGAACAUACCCUUUGGUAAGGAAUAAUAUUUGGAAACGAAUACUAAUACCUUAUAAUAUCUUCGGAUCAAAGAUUUAUCGCCAAAGGAUUGGCCCGCGUCUGAUUAGCUUGUUGGUGAGGUAAUGGCUCACCAAGGCUACGAUCAGUAGGGGGUCUGAGAGGAUGAUCCCCCACACUGGGACGUGAGACACGGCCCGACGACUCCUACGGGAGGGCAGCAGUGAGGAAUAUUGCACAAUGGAGGAAACUACUGAUGCAGCCAUGCCGCGUGAGUGAAGAAGGCCUUAGGGUUGUAAAGACUCUUUCAANGGUGAAGAUAAUGACGGUAGCCAUAGAAGAAGCCCCGGCUAAAUUCGUG